UACAUGGGGUGCAAACGUUGCUCGGAAUUAUUGGGCGUAAAGCGCACGUAGGCGGUUCGUUAAGUCGGAUGUGAAAGCCCUCGGCUCAACUGAGGAAGUGCACCCGAAACUGGCGAGCUUGAGUACGAAAGAGGAUCGCGGAAUUCCCGGUGUAGAGGUGAAAUUCGUAGAUAUCGGGAGGAACACCGGUGGCGAAGGCGGCUCACUGGCUCAUUACUGACGCUCAGGCGCGACAGCGUGGGGAUCAAACAGG
This 253-nucleotide ribosomal RNA is filed under the name uncultured bacterium. RNAcentral describes it as "partial 16S ribosomal RNA". It matches the Rfam family "Bacterial small subunit ribosomal RNA", at positions 524 to 776 of the family's 1533-position model. The record is from RNAcentral.